This 292-nucleotide ribosomal RNA is filed under the name uncultured bacterium. RNAcentral describes it as "partial 16S ribosomal RNA". It matches the Rfam family "Bacterial small subunit ribosomal RNA", at positions 505 to 796 of the family's 1533-position model. The record is from RNAcentral.
GUGCCAGCCGCCGCGGUAAUACAGAGGUGGCAAGCGUUGUUCGGAAUUACUGGGCGUAAAGGGCGCGUAGGCGGCCUUGUCAGUCAGACGUGAAAUCCCCAGGCUUAACCUGGGAACUGCGUCUGAUACUACAAGGCUGGAGUUCGGGAGAGGAAUGUGGAAUUCCAGGUGUAGCGGUGAAAUGCGUAGAUAUCUGGAGGAACACCGGUGGCGAAGGCGGCAUUCUGGACCGAAACUGACGCUGAGGCGCGAAAGCCAGGGGAGCAAACGGGAUUAGAUACCCCCGUAGUCC